RNAcentral lists this ribosomal RNA (441 nucleotides) under uncultured bacterium. RNAcentral's name for it is "partial 16S ribosomal RNA". It matches the Rfam family "Bacterial small subunit ribosomal RNA", at positions 338 to 795 of the family's 1533-position model. The record is from RNAcentral.
CCUACGGGCGGCAGCAGUGGGGAAUAUUGCACAAUGGGGGAAACCCUGAUGCAGCAAAGCCGCGUGAGUGAAGACGUAUUUCGGUAUUUUAAGCUCUAUCAGAAGGGAAGAAGAAAGACGGUACCUGACUAAGAAGCCACGGCUAACUACGUGCCAGCAGCCGCGGUAAUACGGAGGGGGCAAGCGUUAUCCGGAUUUACUGGGUGUAAAGGGAUCGUAGACGGAUGUGCAAGUCUGAAGUGAAAGGCCGUGGCUCAACCGCGGAACUGCUUUGGAAACUGUAUAGCUUGAGGACUGGAGAGGCAGGCGGAAUGCCUAGUGUAGCGGUGAAAUGCGUAGAUAUUAGGAGGAACACCAGUGGCGAAGGCGGCCUGCUGGACAGAAACUGACGUUGAGGCUCGAAAGCGUGGGGAGCAAACAGGAUUAGAUACCCUUGUAGUC